This 127-nucleotide small RNA is filed under the name Clostridium grantii. RNAcentral's name for it is "c-di-AMP sequence". It matches the Rfam family "c-di-AMP riboswitch aptamer (ydaO/yuaA leader)". Rfam says of the family: This family represents a conserved RNA structure found upstream of the ydaO and yuaA genes in Bacillus subtilis and related genes in other bacteria. The ydaO/yuaA element is thought to act as a genetic "off" switch for the ydaO and yuaA genes in its native state. It is believed that the element may be triggered during osmotic shock leading to activation of ydaO, a predicted amino acid transporter gene, and members of the yuaA-yubG operon which code for KtrA and KtrB K+ transporters. RNAcentral also lists the same sequence under 1 other name. Lineage: Bacteria; Bacillati; Bacillota; Clostridia; Eubacteriales; Clostridiaceae. The record is from RNAcentral.
AUAUCCAUGAAGUCGAAUCCUCCUCAAAGGGGGUACCGGGGGUUAUAUUUUGGGGUGAAGCUUUUAUUAAGCAGGGGUCCUCUACUCUAACCCGUCAACUAACCCGGAAGACAUAAGGAGGAUACAA